RNAcentral lists this ribosomal RNA (74 nucleotides) under Planctomycetaceae bacterium. Its description in RNAcentral is "partial 23S ribosomal RNA". Lineage: Bacteria; Pseudomonadati; Planctomycetota; Planctomycetia; Planctomycetales; Planctomycetaceae. The record is from RNAcentral.
CAGGUUGAUAGGCUGGAUGUGUAAGCACGGUAACGUGUUCAGCUAACCAGUACUAAUGGACGAAAGCUUGGCCG